ACAGAGAAGUAAAAAUUUACAUUUAGUUUCGACCUAAAAUUAAAGAAUAACAUUCUUCAUGUU
RNAcentral lists this transfer RNA (63 nucleotides) under Nabicerus dentimus. RNAcentral describes it as "tRNA-Arg". The record is from RNAcentral. Lineage: Eukaryota; Metazoa; Arthropoda; Insecta; Hemiptera; Cicadellidae.